CAAACCAAAGCUGGCGACCGGCGCACGGGUGAGUAACACGUAUCCAACCUGCCUCAUACUCGGGGAUAGCCUUUCGAAAGAAAGAUUAAUAUCCGAUAGCAUAUAUUUCCCGCAUGGGUUUUAUAUUAAAGAAAUUCGGUAUGAGAUGGGGAUGCGUUCCAUUAGUUUGUUGGGGGGGUAACGGCCCACCAAGACUACGAUGGAUAGGGGUUCUGAGAGGAAGGUCCCCCACAUUGGAACUGAGACACGGCCAA
RNAcentral lists this ribosomal RNA (254 nucleotides) under uncultured bacterium. Its description in RNAcentral is "partial 16S ribosomal RNA". It matches the Rfam family "Bacterial small subunit ribosomal RNA", at positions 74 to 334 of the family's 1533-position model. The record is from RNAcentral.